UAUUGCGCAAUGGGCGAAAGCCUGACGCAGCGACGCCGCGUGAGGGAUGAAGGUCUUCGGAUCGUAAACCUCUGUCAGAGGGGAAGAAGUGUGUCUAUUCAAAUAGGGUAGGCAUUUGACGGUACCCUCAAAGGAAGCACCGGCUAACUCCGUGCCAGCAGCCGCGGUAAUACGGAGGGUGCGAGCGUUAAUCGGAAUUACUGGGCGUAAAGCGCACGUAGGUGGUUUUGUAAGUCAGGGGUGAAAUCCCACCGCUCAACGGUGGAACAGCCUUUGAUACUGCAUCACUAGAGUAUCGGAGAAGGUGGCGGAAUUCUAGGUGUAGGAGUGAAAUCCGUAGAUAUCUGGAGGAACACCGGUGGCGAAGGCGGCCACCUGGACGAAAACUGACACUGAGGUGCGAAAGCAUGGGGAGCAAAAAAGGUUAGAUACCCUGGUAGUCCAUACUGUAAACGAUGGGUGCUAGGUGCUGAGGAGAUAAAUUUUCAGUGCCGUAGUUAACGCGUUAAGCACCCCGCCUGGGGAGUACGGUCGCAAGGCUGAAACUCAAAGAAAUUGACGGGGGCCCGCACAAGCGGUGGAGUAUGUGGUUUAAUUCGAUGCAACGCGAAGAACCUUACCCAGGCUUGACAUCCAGGGGACCUCUAGGAAAUUAGAGGGUGCCCUUCGGGGAGCCCUGAGACAGGUGCUGCAUGGCUGUCGUCAGCUCGUGCCGUGAGGUGUUGGGUUAAGUCCCGCAACGAGCGCAACCCUUAUCUUUAGUUGCCAGCGAGUAAAGUUGGGCACUCUAGAGAGGCUGCCCCGGUUAACGGGGAGGAAGGUGGGGACGACGUCAAGUCAUCAUGGCCCUUACGCCUGGGGCUACACACGUACUACAAUGGUGCGCACAAAGGGAAGCAAGACCGUGAGGUGGAGCCAAUCCCAAAAAACGCAUCUCAGUCCGGAUUGGAGUCUGCAACUCGACUCCAUGAAGUCGGAAUCGCUAGUAAUUCGAGAUCAGCAUGCUCGGGUGAAUGCGUUCCCGGGCCUUGUACACACCGCCCGUCACACCACGAAAGUUGGUUU
This 1065-nucleotide ribosomal RNA is filed under the name uncultured bacterium. RNAcentral's name for it is "bacterial SSU rRNA". It matches the Rfam family "Bacterial small subunit ribosomal RNA", at positions 362 to 1417 of the family's 1533-position model. The record is from RNAcentral.